CUUGAUCGAGCCCAGGUAGAGCGGCUGCUCCUCCGGCCGGUCCUGCCCGUACGUGGCCAGCAGUGCCUGCGCCUC
Molecule: non-coding RNA, 75 nt
Organism: Streptomyces sp.
Lineage: Bacteria; Bacillati; Actinomycetota; Actinomycetes; Kitasatosporales; Streptomycetaceae
Source: Rfam